AAUUACUGUAUAUCAUAAUAUUUUCUUAACAGCAAAUGCACAUUUUCUUCACCUUUGACUUUGUACACCUCUAGGUUUUGAAAGCAAAUCGACCCAUGCUGCAGGAUUAUCACAGGGUUGUUGCCACCCCUGAAAUAUUCCUUGUGGUAGUACUGAUUGCUGGUUAAGAUGGCUACAUUUAAAUACUCAUCUUCUGAAGCUUUCUGUGGAGAAAUUAAAAAACAUAUAUCUUGUAUAAAGUCAUAGAUAACAAUCAAAAGAAUAAAAAGUAUUUGUUCUUCAGUAGUCCAUCUGUGUAACUAUCAUUAGAAUUGUAUGAGGAGCCUAGCCCAAUUACUUUUCAUGAUUUAAGUGAAUUUAGCAUUUUCUUGUUGCUUGUACUUUGUAUGUAGAUUCUCUAGAUGCCAAUAAUGAUGGGUUAACUUUUAAAGAAGUGAAUAUAUAUACACAUAUGUGUAUAUACCUAUAUAUAAAUUGAGGAGACGAUUUAACUUUUGAAAACGAUGUCUUGACUGAAUACUGCAAAGCCAAAGACAAAAAAGCAAACGCUGUAUUCUAAUUGGUUACUUUGUUUCUCAUAAAGGGACAGGUUAGCAAUUAUGUAACUAUGUUAUGUAACUAGUUUACACAUAUAGUAGAGUUUAACAAAUAAGCAAAUAAAUCUUAGCUAAUAGGAGACAGGUUUCUCAGCAACAGAAAAGUUACAAAUAAGCAAGGGGUAAGGUGAGGCUAGAAUGAAUCCUGUGGUGCUGAGAGUUGGAGAUAUCAGUAUAAACUCGUUUAUUUCAAUAAACUGUAGGUAUAUAUGUAUAGGUAUCUGUGUAUACAUACAAACAUUUCCUAGCUGUGUCCACUGAGGGGGCCUACACAGUGAUAACCUAGUAGCAGUAGCAAUGAGCACAUCUUGUGCCCAGAUCUUGGUUUCUAAAACCAUUUUUCAGUACAGGGAACAAUGGUUUCUUGGGAAAAAAAAAUCACUGAUUCUAGGGCUGGGCAGGAAAAAUAAAAGAUGAGCUUGCAGCAUAUUGGAGCGCUGGAGAGUAAGGAAGUGCUGAAAAAAAAAAAAUAAGGCCAAACAAACAAAAAACACAUAGGGAGAGGCAUGUCAAAAGGAAACAGGAACAAAUUUUCCAAGAGCUCUCAAAGGCCAAAGCUGCAACACUUUGAGCAACAGUAUGAUAGUACUGGAUUACAACCCAAAGAACAAUGUAUAUAUCCAUGAGUCCACACUGAUAAAAAAUAUUGGAUAACAAUUUUCCUUAAGUAAGCUUCUAAUUAAUAAAUGUAUCAGGAAAUAGGAAGGUGAAACAUCUGGUGAACCUUUGAGCUGGCUAAUAAAUGUUUUUGCCAACCAACCUAUUUUGUGUUCCUUCUGAUGCAUAACAAUGGAAAGAGGAUUUUUUUCCCCUAUGAGUUUUGAAAAUCAGAAAUACCUUUGUGUCCAUCACCAGUAAUGUUGAAACUAUUUUCUAUAACUUGUCAUGCCCUACAAACCUUACUUUAAUCAAAUAUUGUGCAGCUUAACACACCUCAUAAUCAGUCAUGCUAUUUGAUGAAACUUUAUCCUUUUAAUAAGACAUUUUCUAACAUUCCAAUGACUGCCCCUUUAUUUCAUAUUUCCUCUUCACUUUGUAUUCGUACUUGACAUUGUGAAAUGAGGACCAGGCCAGAUGGGGUUUCUCCUCGUUGGUCAGGCUGGU
RNAcentral lists this long non-coding RNA (1700 nucleotides) under Homo sapiens (human). RNAcentral's name for it is "HSALNT0072247". The record is from RNAcentral. Lineage: Eukaryota; Metazoa; Chordata; Mammalia; Primates; Hominidae.